This 253-nucleotide ribosomal RNA is filed under the name uncultured bacterium. Its description in RNAcentral is "partial 16S ribosomal RNA". It matches the Rfam family "Bacterial small subunit ribosomal RNA", at positions 524 to 776 of the family's 1533-position model. The record is from RNAcentral.
UACGUAGGGUGCAAGCGUUAAUCGGAAUUACUGGGCGUAAAGCGUGCGCAGGCGGCUUUGCAAGACAGAUGUGAAAUCCCCGGGCUUAACCUGGGAACUGCAUUUGUGACUGCAUGGCUGGAGUGCGGCAGAGGGGGAUGGAAUUCCGCGUGUAGCAGUGAAAUGCGUAGAGAUGCGGAGGAACACCGAUGGCGAAGGCAGCCCCCUGGGCUAAGACUGACGCUGAGGCACGAAAGCGUGGGGAGCAAACAGG